Molecule: ribosomal RNA, 253 nt
Filed under: uncultured bacterium
Lineage: Bacteria
Description: partial 16S ribosomal RNA
Rfam family: Bacterial small subunit ribosomal RNA
Source: RNAcentral
UACGGAGGGUGCAAGCGUUAAUCGGAAUUACUGGGCGUAAAGCGCACGCAGGCGGCUGAGUCAGUCGAUUGUGAAAGCCCUGGGCUUAACCUGGGAAUUGCAGUCGAUACUACUUAGCUAGAGUAUGGGAGAGGGCAGUGGAAUUCCCGGUGUAGCGGUGAAAUGCGUAGAUAUCGGGAGGAACAUCAGUGGCGAAGGCGGCUGCCUGGCCCAAUACUGACACUCAGGUGCGAAAGCGUGGGGAGCAAACAGG